AGCGAACGCUGGCGGCAGGCCUAACACAUGCAAGUCGAACGAACCUUUCGGGGUUAGUGCCGGACGGGUGAGUAACACGUGGGAACGUGCCUUUAGGUUCGGAAUAACUCAGGGAAACUUGUGCUAAUACCGAAUGUGCCCUUCGGGGGAAAGAUUAAUCGCCUUUAGAGCGGCCCGCGUCUGAUUAGCUAGUUGGUUGAGGUAAUGGCUCACCAAGGCGACGAUCAGUAGCUGGUCUGAGAGGAUGAUCAGCCACAUUGGGACUGAGACACGGCCCAAACUCCUACGGGAGGCAGCAGUGGGGAAUCUUGCGCAAUGGGCGAAAGCCUGACGCAGCCAUGCCGCGUGAAUGAUGAAGGUCUUAGGAUUGUAAAAUUCUUUCACCGGGGACGAUAAUGACGGUACCCGGAGAAGAAGCCCCGGCUAACUUCGUG
This 434-nucleotide ribosomal RNA is filed under the name uncultured bacterium. RNAcentral describes it as "partial 16S ribosomal RNA". It matches the Rfam family "Bacterial small subunit ribosomal RNA", at positions 29 to 507 of the family's 1533-position model. The record is from RNAcentral.